Molecule: ribosomal RNA, 500 nt
Filed under: uncultured bacterium
Lineage: Bacteria
Description: partial 16S ribosomal RNA
Rfam family: Bacterial small subunit ribosomal RNA
Source: RNAcentral
AUUGAACGCUGGCGGCAUGCCUUACACAUGCAAGUCGAACGGCAGCACGGGAGCAAUCCUGGUGGCGAGUGGCGAACGGGUGAGUAAAGUAUCGGAACGUGCCCAGUCGUGGGGGAUAACGUAGCGAAAGCUACGCUAAUACCGCAUACGAUCUAUGGAUGAAAGCGGGGGAUCGCAAGACCUCGCGCGAUUGGAGCGGCCGAUAUCAGAUUAGGUAGUUGGUGGGGUAAAGGCCCACCAAGCCGACGAUCUGUAGCUGGGCUGAGAGGACGACCAGUCACACUGGGACUGAGACACGGCACAGACUCCUACGGGAGGCAGCAGUGGGGAAUUUUGGACAAUGGGCGCAAGCCUGAUCCAGCAAUGCCGCGUGCAGGAUGAAGGCCUUCGGGUUGUAAACUGCUUUUGUACGGAGCGAAAAGGCUCGCACUAAUACUGUGGGCUCAUGACGGUACCGUAAGAAUAAGCACCGGCUAACUACGUGCCAGCAGCCGCAGUAA